This 467-nucleotide ribosomal RNA is filed under the name uncultured bacterium. RNAcentral's name for it is "partial 16S ribosomal RNA". It matches the Rfam family "Bacterial small subunit ribosomal RNA", at positions 28 to 507 of the family's 1533-position model. The record is from RNAcentral.
GACGAACGCUGGCGGCGUGCUUAACACAUGCAAGUCGAACGGAAAGGCCUCUUUCGGGGGGUACUCGAGUGGCGAACGGGUGAGUAACACGUGAGUAACCUGCCCUUGACUUUGGGAUAACUUCCGGAAACUGGGGCUAAUACCGGAUAGGAGCUCCUGCUGCAUGGUGGGGGUUGGAAAGUUUCGGCGGUUGGGGAUGGACUCGCGGCUUAUCAGCUUGUUGGUGGGGUAGUGGCUUACCAAGGCUUUGACGGGUAGCCGGCCUGAGAGGGUGACCGGCCACAUUGGGACUGAGAUACGGCCCAGACUCCUACGGGAGGCAGCAGUGGGGAAUAUUGCACAAUGGGUGGAAGCCUGAUGCAGCAACGCCGGGUGCGGGAUGACGGCCUUCGGGUUGUAAACCGCUUUCGCUCAUGACGAAGCUUUGUGUGACGGUAGUGGGUAAAGAAGCACCGGCUAACUACGUG